This 22-nucleotide non-coding RNA is filed under the name Arabidopsis thaliana (thale cress). Lineage: Eukaryota; Viridiplantae; Streptophyta; Magnoliopsida; Brassicales; Brassicaceae. The record is from RNAcentral.
CUCUCCAUCCUUCCGCCACGUC